Molecule: long non-coding RNA, 200 nt
Filed under: Trifolium pratense (red clover)
Lineage: Eukaryota; Viridiplantae; Streptophyta; Magnoliopsida; Fabales; Fabaceae
Description: long non-coding RNA (TPRA_LNC003248)
Source: RNAcentral
ACACACAAAGGAUUGGAUGAAAAGAGAUGUGACAAAAUCUAAGUCACACAAUAAGUAUAUAAAUGUAGAAUAUGAAAAGUAUAGAAAUGACAAUAAUAAUAAUAAUAAUAAUAAUAAUAAUAAUAAUAAUAAUAAUAAUAAUAAUAUAAGUAGAAAUGAUGUGGCAUUAUAGAGUGAUUUAAUUAGAUUUAAAUGGAUNN